This is a non-coding RNA of Macaca mulatta (Rhesus monkey), 886 nucleotides long. NCBI's taxonomy places the organism in Eukaryota, Metazoa, Chordata, Mammalia, Primates, Cercopithecidae. The record is from RefSeq and is a predicted model, not a curated record.
GGCGGAGAGAGUGGCGCGGAGGACGACGGAAGAAGGGCACCUGGCGCGUUUAUGACGUACGCAGGGAGUGUUUUGUAACAACCAUUGAGUAGUCCUCCGCGUCUCAUAGAAAAAUAUUCCCCUAAUGAGAAAACUGAGAAACGAGUGCAGAGAAUUAAUUCCAAAGUUUUAAAAUUUCCCAUUCGUGUCAUAGUUUGAGUACCCUACCCCUCGGACCCAGGGCAAGCCUUCGGCUGUGACUCAGCACGUAAAAAACCAGAACGCCGGAAGUAUUUUCCUACACCCGCCGGAUGGACGCUACUUCCCAGCGCCGCAAAUACUAACUGGCUCUUUUCUACCCUACAGCCGGCCGUAGGCUGGUGGGGUUUCAUCCUCAAGGCCUAAGAAAGUGCUAAAAAGACCGGUCUGGACGUGCUCACUCUUCUGUGCGAAAACAUUUUUUAGCUCCUCCAGCCUACUGUUAAAUUCGGCCAAUUUUUGAGCAGCUACAGCGUCUGCUGCCCUCAAGUCUCCUUUCGCAGUUUUUCCCGCUAGCAGUGGCCUUUGGUGAGCAAUGUAAAAUGUGACGGAAAUACAAACAUAAAUGAAAGCUAAAAAGCAGCCGAAAUUAAUAAGAUGCACUAUACUGACACCAUGGGGAAAAUGUAUUCUGCAUCAUUGGACAAUCUACUCCACAGAUAACCAGAAAAUUGCAAUACAGCACAGGAAGUUCCAUGGCAAAGGAAAGCAAAAGGGGCUGUGGAUUCCCAGAGGAGGUGCCUAACUGAGCUUGGUGGACAGAGGAGUACAAAGAAUAGCAUAUGCAGAGGCUCUCAUCUAGAGUGUGCCCCCCAAAAUAAACAAAAAAUAAUAAUAAAAUAAAGUGUGCCCUAGUCAUCUUCUCAAA